GCUGGGCAUGGUGACGCACACCUGUAAUUCCUGACAACUGGGGAGGCUGAAGCUGGUGGAUAGCUUGGGUUCUGGAGUCCUGAGCUUUUAUAAGGGCUAAAGUGUAUUGAGUACUAAAAAUAAAAUAAAAUUACUGCAGACAAUUUUUUUUAAAAAGUGUAUUGGGUGUCUGCACCAAAUCCACUACCAGCUUAGUGAGCCCCUCAAAGUAGGGGGAGCACUAGGCUGCCUAAGAAGAGGUCAACUGGCCCAAGUUGGAAAAAGAAUAGAUCAAAGUUUCUGUAAUGAUCAGCAGUGUGAUCAGACCCAUAAGUAACUGCUGUACUUCCAGCCUGGACAAAAUAGGGAGACCCAGUCU
Molecule: unclassified non-coding RNA, 358 nt
Organism: Vombatus ursinus (common wombat)
Lineage: Eukaryota; Metazoa; Chordata; Mammalia; Diprotodontia; Vombatidae
Rfam family: Metazoan signal recognition particle RNA
About the family: The signal recognition particle (SRP) is a universally conserved ribonucleoprotein. It is involved in the co-translational targeting of proteins to membranes. The eukaryotic SRP consists of a 300-nucleotide 7S RNA and six proteins: SRPs 72, 68, 54, 19, 14, and 9.
Source: Ensembl